This 488-nucleotide unclassified non-coding RNA is filed under the name Hevea brasiliensis (rubber tree). Lineage: Eukaryota; Viridiplantae; Streptophyta; Magnoliopsida; Malpighiales; Euphorbiaceae. The record is from RNAcentral.
AGAAAAUGGAGGGAUUAAGGAAUGCUGCUGCUGCAUGUAAUGGGGAUUGAAGAAGCAUGCUCCAUCUCCUGUCAAUUAUAUCCCAAAUCGGCACAAACUUUUCAUCUACGUCCUUAUAAAAUGCUUUGAUGGAGAGCUUUGCUCUUUCCACUCCAUCGUACAUAUAGGCCAUAGCAGGCAUGUCUCCGUCGACAAUCCUCAACAGUUUAAGUAGAGGUUCAGAAACCGUAACAGCUUCACGUGCGGAUCUCCAAAAUCUUUCAAGGCACAACAAUGACUUUAUGGCUUGGACUUCAGGGUGCCUACUAUAUAUGGAUGACAACCACUCAGCAUGAGAGAACAUGUGUUUCAAAUUAUCCUCUUGAAUUACAAGGGCCCGUAAAGAGAGAAAAAUUGCUAUGAAGUUUGUAAAUCUUGGUCGAACGAGGACAAACUCCCCUCCACCUGAAAAUUUUCUCAUCAUAUCUAGCAUCCAGUCAUUACUGUAU